UACGUAGGGAGCGAGCGUUAUCCGGAAUUAUUGGGCGUAAAGGGUGCGUAGAUGGCAUAGUAAGUCUUUUGUAAAAAUGCUGGGCUCAACCCAGUAGGGCAAAAGAUACUGCAAAGCUAGAGUAUGACAGAGGCAAGUGGAACUACAUGUGUAGCGGUAAAAUGCGUAAAUAUAUGUAAGAACACCAGUGGCGAAGGCGGCUUGCUGGGUCGAUACUGACAUUGAGGCACGAAAGCGUGGGGAGCAAACAGG
This 252-nucleotide ribosomal RNA is filed under the name uncultured bacterium. RNAcentral describes it as "partial 16S ribosomal RNA". It matches the Rfam family "Bacterial small subunit ribosomal RNA", at positions 524 to 776 of the family's 1533-position model. The record is from RNAcentral.